GAUGAACGCUGACAGAAUGCUUAACACAUGCAAGUCUACUUGAAUUUGGGUUUUUUAACUUAGAUUUGGGUGGCGGACGGGUGAGUAACGCGUAAAGAACUUGCCUCACAGCUAGGGACAACAUUUGGAAACGAAUGCUAAUACCUGAAAUUAUGAUUAUAAGGCAUCUUAGAAUUAUGAAAGCUAUAUGCGCUGUGAGAGAGCUUUGCGUCCCAUUAGCUAGUUGGAGAGGUAACGGCUCACCAAGGCGAUGAUGGGUAGCCGGCCUGAGAGGGUGAACGGCCACAAGGGGACUGAGACACGGCCCUUACUCCUACGGGAGGCAGCAGUGGGGAAUAUUGGACAAUGGACCAAGAGUCUGAUCCAGCAAUUCUGUGUGCACGAUGACGUUUUUCGGAAUGUAAAGUGCUUUCAGUUGGGAAGAAAAAAAUGACGGUACCAACAGAAGAAGUGACGGCUAAAUACGUG
Molecule: ribosomal RNA, 468 nt
Filed under: uncultured bacterium
Lineage: Bacteria
Description: partial 16S ribosomal RNA
Rfam family: Bacterial small subunit ribosomal RNA
Source: RNAcentral